UUGCCGCGUUGCGUGUUCUAGCAAACGUUCUAGCAAACGCUCUCACUAGCAAACUAGCUCGUUUGCUAGUGAGACCGCCGAAUCCUAACCACUAGACAACCAGGGACGAAAACCGAGAAAUUGGUGGCCUCUUCGCUGGCCAUGCUGGCCCCUGUCUACCACCAAAAGCUCCUACGAAAGGCACGUGAGCAUCAGCACUGGAAAGUGGAGCAAUAAGAUGGUGGCUUGGUCUGAUGAAUCAUGUUUUCUUUUACAUCAUGUAUGGCUUAGGGUUAGGGUUAGAAAGGCACGUGAGCAUCAGCACUGGAAAGUGGAGCAAUAAGAUGGUGGCUUGGUCUGAUGAAUCAUGUUUUCUUUUACAUCAUGUAUGGCUUAGGGUUAGGGUUAGAAAAGGCUUGAAAAGACGCUUGGCCAAGGAGUUGCACUUAAGCCUUGUCUUAUGCUCCAUUCCGGUUAAGGCUUGUGAAGACGGUUGGCACUUUGGAAAUGAUCAAAACAUAAGUGAGCCAAGGAAUUGCACUUAAGCCUUGUCUCAUGCUCCAUUCCCGUGAUGGGCAAGAGAACAUGGCACUGGACUUGAGCUGCACUGGGGUUUUACCUGUGCAAAUUGAAGCCUGCUAUGAACCUGUGUCUUAGUGCAGAGAAAACGCUGUUCAGAUGAGCAAGCAAGCGCCUUGGCAUUAAUCAAACAAGCUCGUGCCGAACAAAUCUUCCAUCCUAGGAAAUUGCUUUGACGUAAAGCAAGUCAUCCGAAUGUGUACUUUUAAACGCUCUGUUUACUUAAUUGAAGCAAAUGCACUGAAGAGGUGCAGAAAGAUGAGAAUAUAAACAUGGACAAACACGUUUAUAGGCUCCAGAAAAAAAUAGUCUAAGCGUUUCCUUAAAUCACUUUUGCCGAGUUGCGUGUUCUAGCAAACGUUCUAGCAAACGCUCUCACUAGCAAACUAGCUCGUUUGCUAGUGAGACCGCCGAAUCCUAACCACAAGACAGCCAGGGACGAAAACCGAGAAAUUGGUGGCCUCUUCGCUGGCCAUGCUGGC
Molecule: long non-coding RNA, 1040 nt
Organism: Ictalurus punctatus (channel catfish)
Lineage: Eukaryota; Metazoa; Chordata; Actinopteri; Siluriformes; Ictaluridae
Source: Ensembl